This 429-nucleotide ribosomal RNA is filed under the name Gemmatimonadota bacterium. Its description in RNAcentral is "Gemmatimonadetes bacterium partial 16S ribosomal RNA". It matches the Rfam family "Bacterial small subunit ribosomal RNA", at positions 355 to 776 of the family's 1533-position model. Lineage: Bacteria; Pseudomonadati; Gemmatimonadota. The record is from RNAcentral.
UAGGGAAUCUUCGGCAAUGGACGACAGUCUGACCGAGCAACGCCGCGUGCGUGAAGAAGGUUUUCGGAUCGUAAAACUCUGUUGUUAGAGAAGAACAAGGACGUUAGUAACUGAACGUCCCCUGACGGUAUCUAACCAGAAAGCCACGGCUAACUCCGUGCCAGCAGCCGCGGUAAUACGUAGGUGGCAAGCGUUGUCCGGAUUUAUUGGGCGUAAAGCGAGCGCAGGCGGUUUCUUAAGUCUGAUGUGAAAGCCCCCGGCUCAACCGGGGAGGGUCAUUGGAAACUGGGAGACUUGAGUGCAGAAGAGGAGAGUGGAAUUCCAUGUGUAGCGGUGAAAUGCGUAGAUAUAUGGAGGAACACCAGUGGCGAAGGCGGCUCUCUGGUCUGUAACUGACGCUGAGGCUCGAAAGCGUGGGGAGCAAACAGG